Molecule: ribosomal RNA, 253 nt
Filed under: Neglectibacter timonensis
Lineage: Bacteria; Bacillati; Bacillota; Clostridia; Eubacteriales; Oscillospiraceae
Also listed under: 1 other name
Description: partial 16S ribosomal RNA
Rfam family: Bacterial small subunit ribosomal RNA
Source: RNAcentral
UACGUAGGGAGCGAGCGUUGUCCGGAAUUACUGGGUGUAAAGGGUGCGUAGGCGGUUUGGUAAGUCAGAAGUGAAAUCCAUGGGCUUAACCCAUGAACUGCUUUUGAAACUAUCGGACUUGAGUGAAGUAGAGGUAGGCGGAAUUCCCGGUGUAGCGGUGAAAUGCGUAGAGAUCGGGAGGAACACCAGUGGCGAAGGCGGCCUACUGGGCUUUAACUGACGCUGAGGCACGAAAGCAUGGGUAGCAAACAGG